GGAUGGAUGGCCGCGGGGUCGAAGGCGGCGGUCUUGAAAACCGUUGAGGUGCAAGCCUCCGGGGGUUCGAAUCCCUCUCCAUCCG
Molecule: transfer RNA, 85 nt
Filed under: Spirochaetales bacterium
Lineage: Bacteria; Pseudomonadati; Spirochaetota; Spirochaetia; Spirochaetales
Description: tRNA-Ser
Rfam family: tRNA
About the family: Transfer RNA (tRNA) molecules are approximately 80 nucleotides in length. Their secondary structure includes four short double-helical elements and three loops (D, anti-codon, and T loops).
Source: RNAcentral